Molecule: ribosomal RNA, 1056 nt
Filed under: Triticum aestivum (bread wheat)
Lineage: Eukaryota; Viridiplantae; Streptophyta; Magnoliopsida; Poales; Poaceae
Description: partial small subunit ribosomal RNA
Source: RNAcentral
AUGCCCAGGUCAGCCAGCAGCGGCUCCAUGUCCGCGACGCACUUCUUGUCGUGGAGGUAUGCCAGGCCUCUCGCCACGCCGCGUGCUCCACCCGAGGUUCAUCGACAGUGUCCCCGGCUCCAGCAGCAAACAGGGCGCGACGCCGGAGCUGGACAAGUGAACCGCCGCGUCCACUUCCACAGCUGCAGGUAUGUACAACUUCAACACAAAUUGGUCAUGCUGCUCACUGAGAAGAUGUUGGAGAAAUUGAUAGAGUUUACAGAGGCCGCCGCUGAGGAGGUACUAGUGCCGCAUGGAAGUCAUGAAUUCACACUGGCUGAGAUCGUGGCUGCCACCAAUAACUUCGCCCGUGACACCCUGAUCGGUUCCGGCAGCUCUGGAAGGGUGUACAGGGGAAGGCUUCACGAUGGGCGAGAGGUGGCCAUCAAGCGCAUGUGGAAACAAGAGUCAAAAUUCCAUUACAAAUUACAGGAAGAGUUCCGCACAGAGGUCGACAUCCUCUCACGGCUCCAACACAAGCACAUCAUCCGCCUCCUUGGAUCGUGUAUGAGCCAGCAAACCGCCCUGCAAAAGGAAAAGAGGGGUCUACUAACCAGGUGGAGAAAGGAGCCGGAGGAGUUGAUCGUCUACGAAUACAUGACGAAUGGCACGCUCUUCGACCACCUUCACCCUGAUCAGCGCUCCACCGCGCUGUCGCCGGUGACCAUGUCAUGGAAGAUGCGCAUCGAUGUGCUUCUGGGUGUGUCCCGCGCCAUUGAGCACCUGCACUGUCAUCAUGCCCAGUUCCCGAUCAUCCACCGUGACAUCAAGUCGGCUAACAUCCUUUUGGACGCGAGUUGGUUGCCGCGUGUGUCUGACUUUGGUUUGUCGGUCACCUGGGACAUGGCGAAUGAUGAGACGGGGUUCAUUGUCCCUUACAUCGCUCGCAGGCACAUACGGGAGCUGAAGGCCGACGGGCAGAUCUGUGAGGCGCAAGGGGUGGCGGCCGCGGAUGGUGUGUGUGUGUCUGAGCAGUCGACUGGCGAGAUGAAUCCUAAAGACCAUGGCUGGACCUGA